AGAGUAGUGAUGCUGGCAAUUCAGAUCUGCCAAAGAGAAGCCAUCAAGUUCUUAUUUUAACUGAAAAGGGGAAAGUUCUCUACUUAAGAAAGAAAAAAAAUAUGCUGCGUUUGCCAAGAUCUACAUCGCUGCUGUUUCACCAAUUAAUGAAGCAAAUAAGUUAUUAUCUGACUGACUACAGGCAGAGAAUCUCGGCAGUUAUUGACCACUGUGCCCUACGAGAUGACAACGGCCUCUGUGUUAUUAGAGAAAAUUAGAGGCAAUUGUCUCAAUCAAGAUUGAACUUGGUCUCAAGUGUCCUGAAUCCAGUGAUUAUCUAAUCUGUGAUACAAAGACUAACUACCUUGCCUCCAUUUUGAGAAACCCGGAAGUGCUGCUAUUUUAGUUCCAGAGCUUCUCACAGGAAGGCUUAAGAUCUAAGAAGUUGAGCCACCUCAGCCUGGUUCAGAAGCCUUGCUGGAAAGAUGAUUGCUGGAGAGGUGAUGCAAUCAUUUGGAAAAUAGAAGUUCAAAAGAAAACAUCAGGCACAGAAGGCAGCAUAUGACUGAGUCCUUCUGGCUCUUACAGGCUUCAGAUACACUUUUACAAGUGCCCUCCAUAAUAAAUGUGAACUUCAAGCUUCAUACAGAGGUUCCUGACCAAGGGGAGUAAAGGAGAUGGAAUGAAGCUUGUGUGCUGUACUUCAAGUCAUGCAUCCAGUACCAUUUUCCUGCACAUAAAGCGCUAUCUAUUCAUUAAGAUUUCUAGUUGCAGAGCUGGAUCCAUCCAUAAAAAGAACCAUUUUUCUAAUUUAUAGAAAGAUGUCUCAUGGCCUAGAAACAGGCCUUGAGCAAGAGCAAGCCCUGCCUUUCUCAUAUAGAAUAUGUACUGUUUUCUU
This is a long non-coding RNA of Homo sapiens (human), 877 nucleotides long. Ensembl annotates it as long intergenic non-protein coding RNA 2336. The record is from Ensembl. NCBI's taxonomy places the organism in Eukaryota, Metazoa, Chordata, Mammalia, Primates, Hominidae.